ACUCCUGCGGGAGGCAGCAGUGGGGAAUAUUGCACAAUGGGCGCAAGCCUGAUGCAGCCAUGCCGCGUGUAUGAAGAAGGCCUUCGGGUUGUAAAGUACUUUCAGCGGGGAGGAAGGCGAUAAGGUUAAUAACCUUGUCGAUUGACGUUACCCGCAGAAGAAGCACCGGCUAACUCCGUGCCAGCAGCCGCGGUAAUACGGAGGGUGCAAGCGUUAAUCGGAAUUACUGGGCGUAAAGCGCACGCAGGCGGUCUGUCAAGUCGGAUGUGAAAUCCCCGGGCUCAACCUGGGAACUGCAUUCGAAACUGGCAGGCUAGAGUCUUGUAGAGGGGGGUAGAAUUCCAGGUGUAGCGGUGAAAUGCGUAGAGAUCUGGAGGAAUACCGGUGGCGAAGGCGGCCCCCUGGACAAAGACUGACGCUCAGGUGCGAAAGCGUGGGGAGCAAACAGGAUUAGAUACCCUUGUAGUCCCAUG
RNAcentral lists this ribosomal RNA (473 nucleotides) under uncultured organism. Its description in RNAcentral is "partial 16S ribosomal RNA". It matches the Rfam family "Bacterial small subunit ribosomal RNA", at positions 335 to 799 of the family's 1533-position model. The record is from RNAcentral.